AAUGCCCCAUGGUGAUGUCCUCAGGCAUCUGAGGUCAUCUAAAGAUCCGUCGGAUGGGGAUAGGCUCGCGUGACAUCAGCUAGACGGCGGGGUAACGGCCCACCGUGGCGACGAUGUCUAGGGGUUCUGAGAGGAAGGUCCCCCACACUGGAACUGAGACACGGUCCAGACUCCUACGGGAGGCAGCAGUGAGGAAUAUUGGUCAAUGGCCGGAAGGCUGAACCAGCCAUGCCGCGUGAAGGUCAGUGCCCUAUGGGCGUUAAACUUCUUUUGUGCGGGAGCAAUAAUGGUCACGUGUGGCCAGACGAGAGUACCGUACGAAUAAGCAUCGGCUAACUCCGUGCCAGCAGCCGCGGUAAUACGGGGGAUGCAAGCGUUAUCCGGAUUUAUUGGGUUUAAAGGGUGCGUAGGCUGUGAGGUAAGUCAGCGGUGAAAUGCCCCCGCUCAACGGGGUGAAGUGCCAUUGAUACUGCCUUGCUGGAAUGCGGAUGCCGUGGGAGGAAUGUGUGGUGUAGCGGUGAAAUGCAUAGAUAUCACACAGAACACCGAUUGCGAAGGCAUCUCACGAAUCCGCGAUUGACGCUGAUGCACGAAAGCGUGGGUAUCAAACAGGAUUAGAUACCCUGGUAGUCCACGCUGUAAACGAUGAUGACUAACCGUCGGCGAUACACAGUCGGUGGCCAAGC
RNAcentral lists this ribosomal RNA (686 nucleotides) under uncultured bacterium. Its description in RNAcentral is "bacterial SSU rRNA". It matches the Rfam family "Bacterial small subunit ribosomal RNA", at positions 165 to 852 of the family's 1533-position model. The record is from RNAcentral.